RNAcentral lists this ribosomal RNA (408 nucleotides) under uncultured Amanita. RNAcentral describes it as "eukaryotic LSU rRNA". The stretch from base 237 to 314 matches the Rfam family "5.8S ribosomal RNA". Lineage: Eukaryota; Fungi; Basidiomycota; Agaricomycetes; Agaricales; Amanitaceae. The record is from RNAcentral.
GGGGCUUUGAUGACUUGGCUAGACUGUGCUGAUUCCUUGGAAUAUUGUGCACGUCUGACGACCAAUUUCUAUUCCAAUCACCUGUGCACCUUUUUAUGAUAAUAUAGACUUGGUCAUUGAAAAUUUGCUGCGUUGUUUAACUAUGCAGCUGCUUUCUUUUAUUUCAAGUCUAUGUUUUAUCAAAUACCCCUAUUUGUAUGUUUAUUUUUGUAAGGUGUUUGAAACCUAUAAAAUACAACUUUCAACAACGGAUCUCUUGGCUCUCGCAUCGAUGAAGAACGCAGCCAUUUUUUUCGAUGACGAUUUUAAUGACCAAAAGGAGGGGACAGGGAAUCGGAAUACAAAUUGGAGUCGCACUGCCAUAUUCCUGGAAUAGCAAAUCAACCUCUUUCGUCAUAGGAUCCUCCC